Molecule: long non-coding RNA, 625 nt
Organism: Gavialis gangeticus (Gharial)
Lineage: Eukaryota; Metazoa; Chordata; Crocodylia; Gavialidae
Exons: 2
Source: RefSeq, a predicted model, not a curated record
CUGUCCUCCUCUAGGGGCGCGUCAAGUCCCAGCCGGGGUCGCCUCCCGCUCAGAAACGAAACACCGCGUAUCUGGGGCCAAGGGGGCACCCGAGGACCCUAUGGCUGAGGGCAGGAAAACUCGGGGGCACCCGAGCCCCAGGCCUCCGGGCUUGGGCCUGCACAUAGAGCGCCCGCCAAAGGGUUUGGAAACGUCUGAAUCCCCAGGUAGGGAAACCAAAGCAGAGGUUGAUCCUGGAGCUUUGAAGAUGUCAUUUAGUGUGAAAGCUGGAGUUACGGCACACUUUUUUCCUGGUCCUUGAUCAGACUAUUCAGAAAUCAUAUAUAGAACUGAGAAGAACUGCAGUCUUAUGAAGGUGAGAACUGUAUCUCUGCUCAGAUUUCUGCAUUUCUUGGGGAAUGAAUGGUGAAUGCUGCUAGCUUGUCAAUUAACAUAUUUCUGGUUGUGUCCCACUCUUUUGUAUUAGUUGAGCAGCUCUGGGGUUAAACUCUUGAAUGUUUAAUUAACUAAUUGUGAAAAUGUGUGGCAAAUGUACCUUAUCUGACAAAGGGUGUUGGUACCCGAAAGCUUGCAAAGAAGAUUUUUUCCAACUAUCUUAGUUGGUCUAAUAAAAGAUAUCAGUUUA